UUGCUUUGGCAUCAUGCAUACUAAAAUUGGAAAGAUACAGAGAGGAUUAGCAUGGCCCCUGCACAAGGAUGACCCACAAAUUCGUGAAGCAUUCCGUAUUUUU
Molecule: small nuclear RNA, 103 nt
Filed under: Castor canadensis (American beaver)
Lineage: Eukaryota; Metazoa; Chordata; Mammalia; Rodentia; Castoridae
Source: RNAcentral